RNAcentral lists this ribosomal RNA (254 nucleotides) under uncultured bacterium. RNAcentral's name for it is "partial 16S ribosomal RNA". It matches the Rfam family "Bacterial small subunit ribosomal RNA", at positions 524 to 776 of the family's 1533-position model. The record is from RNAcentral.
CACGUAGGGGGCAAGCGUUGUCCGGAUUUAUUGGGCGUAAAGAGCUCGUAGGCGGCUCGGUAAGUCGGGUGUGAAACCUCCAGGCUCAACCUGGAGACGCCACCUGAUACUGCUGUGGCUAGAGUCCGGUAGGGGAGCGUGGAAUUCCUGGUGUAGCGGUGAAAUGCGCAGAUAUCAGGAGGAACACCAGCGGCGAAGGCGGCGCUCUGGGCCGGAACUGACGCUGAGGAGCGAAAGCGUGGGUAGCAAACAGG